GAUGAACGCUGGCGGCGUGCCUAAUACAUGCAAGUCGAGCGAACAGACGCUGAGCUUGCUCCUCUGACGUUAGCGGCGGACGGGUGAGUAACACGUGGAUAACCUACCUAUCUGACUGGGAUCACUUCGGGAAACCGGCGCUAAUACCGGAUAAUAUAUUGAACCGCAUGGUUCAAUAGUGAAAGACGGUUUUGCUGUCACUUAUCGAUGGAUCUGAGCCGCAUUAGCUAGUUGGUAAGGUAACGGCUUACCAAGGCGACGAUGCGUAGCCGACCGGAGAGGGGGGUCGGCCACACUGGAAGUGAGACAGGGACCAGAGUACUACGGGAGGCAGCAGAAGGGAAUCUUCCGCAACGGGCGAGAGCCUGGCGGAGCAGCGCGGCGUGAGAGAUGAAGGUCAUCGGAUCGUGAAACUCUGUUAUGAGGUAAGAACAAAUGUGGAAGUAAAUAUGCACGUCUUGACGGUAACGAAUAAGAAAGCCACGGCUAACUACGUG
This 497-nucleotide ribosomal RNA is filed under the name uncultured bacterium. RNAcentral describes it as "partial 16S ribosomal RNA". It matches the Rfam family "Bacterial small subunit ribosomal RNA", at positions 28 to 507 of the family's 1533-position model. The record is from RNAcentral.